AGCCAUUACGCUUUCUCCGAUGGUAAGAGAUACAGACCCUCUUAUCUCCCCAUUAUAUACAAUCUCUGGUAGCACUAUUGAAAUAACUGAAAUCAUUCGGUGAAGUGAUAUGGAACUGCAAUGCGGUCAAGAAGACCUUCCCAGAACUACUUGAACCUGCGUUUCCCUGAAAAUAAUUGCAUACGUUAGAACGUUGGUCAACCAAUCAGAUUCGAGCAUUCAACAGCCCUGUAGCUUAACACAACAUAAAGUGUCUUCAUUGAUGUAUUUGAGCAUAAUCUUUUUUUAAUCUUGUGUUAUCAUUAUUAUUUAUAUAUAUUCUAAUUAUUUUUCUUUAUUUACUAAUAUUAAAUUUUUCACAUUCUUUUCGUAUUGCGGAGGCAAAAUAUUGAUAUUGGGGAAAGUUUUGGCCUUAGUUGAGCGCUGAUGGAUUGCAUUACGUUUUGCACUCUGGUUUGGGUUAUAGGAAAAUAAUGUACAACUUAACUCAGCCUAAUUUGAUUCUGCUUUCAGCUACCAAUAGCAAGUAGCAUUUUCAGCCCUAUUUAACACAUUAUCAUGUUGAAGCAGAGCCUAAUUCGGCAGAGCCUAGAAGCUUUUCUACUUGCUUUUGUCACAGAGCCUUUUGUCUGGAUUAAAAAGAAUGACUUGCUGGAGAAAACAUAACAGUCUGAUAUGUGAUUAUAAGAAUCCUGUUAUGGAUUUAGACUUGUCUAUCACCAUUGUGUUCAUGCAAACCUUCACAGCUUGCUGGGUAAGUGUGUUAAAGAGUUUCACUGGGACACAUUUGUGGAACAAACCGUGGAGCAGGGCCUCUGAUUUCCUUUAUUUGUGGUGGAGCCCUGGAGGGAGAGCUGUCACUCAAAAUAUGCCGGUCUGCAGAGAUGUGGGUAUCACCACAGGAAGCUGGUGCUGAUUAUGAGAAAUGGAGACUGAUCUCAUGUUUGGCCUGAGCAGACAUGUACUUAAAGAAGAGGGCAGAACAACAGGCCACUAAGACAUGAAUGGAAUAUUAAAGCUUCAUUGCUUGUGUCUACCCCUGGAACUAUAUGUUUAGGCUUGAUGCUAUCAAUCACCUGACGUAAGUUUAAAUGUAUGAUCUGUUGUACCAAUAACCUCUGACAGGAGGAUCAAAAACAUAUUGAAAAUAAUUUCUCUCUCAGCCGUUUUCCACUCUCUGAACGUGCCUAUAUCGCAGCUAGUCAUUUGGGUGCGUCAGGCUGCAAGAGCCGUGACUCACCAUCUCCAGUGCCUCUCCACAGGAAUGUUCCUCUACCUCUGUGUGAGGCUGAAUUCACAUCUGGAUAUGGAGAUGGAGCUUAAUUCCCUGAAUCUCAGCACUGGAACCUUUUCUGUGUGAGACAUCAGCUGCUAAAGCCUGUCACACAUGGAAGCCUCCUAAGUGCCUGACCCAGUAUGUUUUUGCAGACUGGGGCCAGAAGAACAAACCGAAGAGCUUAUGAAAAUGCCAGCCAAAUAGAACAGGCUGUCCAAAAUUCUCCACAGAGGAACCGGUGGAUCUCGAAGACAAGGGACCUUGAGAGUCUUCUGCCUGGUUCAUGUGUGAGCUCCACUACCAAUAUGAAAAAGUAGCAUCUGGGUUUGGUUAGUUCCAAUUAACCCAAUUCAAACAGUCCCCACAGAGAGGAGGGAACAAUUCCUGGGGAAAUGCUCUUUUGAACUUGUGUUAUUGUUUUGUGAAGGAUCCCCAUCACACACUCUGAGGGAGGUUAGGGACGUAUUUCAUGUCCGACAAGAGGAAUAAAGCCUCAGCACGGCCAUAAUGCUGAAGAAACUCUAAACAGCGUCUUGUUCCAUGGGUUUAUUCUUUGAUCUGGGGCUGGGCGGAUGGAAGAAAAGUUGAAUAUUGUGUAAUUCAUGUGGAAAACCUAUGUUUUAUUUCAUCAGAAUUAAAUCAGUCAUCUGAAUUAAGUUCAAGUGUGUCUGGAGAGAUCAAAUGUUUGGCUGAAGGUCAUCAGGUUCAAAUUCCUCCAUGAGGUUUUUGACAAAUGAAACCCCGGGAUAACGAAAUGACUAGUGACCCCGUUUACCAUCAGAAAUCUGAUCUUAUCAUCAUGAAAAAAUGUCUGGCUACAUUACUGGCAUAGAAAAACACAUCUGACUUCAUCAAAGGUUGUCAGAUGUGUUGAUCUGAAGUGAGUUCAUACACUCUAAAAAUGCUGGGUUUGUUUCGAUCCAUGUUUGGGUCAAAUAUGGACAAAAACAACCAUUGGUUUAAAUUUUUAAAGUAACUUUUUUAAACCCAACAUUUGGGUUUGUCCAUAUUUAACCCAAACAUGGGUUGAAACAACCCAGCAUUUUUUAGUGUGCAUAAAAUGUGUAUUGUAUGACCAAGCAGGGAGAUAUUUUUAAACAAAAUCAAUAAAUACAGUUACCCAUUACUGAAGUCUCAAAUUAGAGACAAAAUCUGAGUACGCAGCCAAGGGCAAGUGUUUUAAACCAGCUGAACCUUGAACCAGUGAACCACUUUUGCAAAACUAUUUCAGGAGCCCAAGGGCAAGGCCAGGAAUGCAUGCACAGUAAGGAGGUAAUAUAAGCAAAACAAGGAAUGAUACAAUGCAGCAGUUCGCCUGUCAGUCUCAUUUUUGUUCUGAGUACCUUUGAAAAAUGAAACAAAUGCCCCUCCCACUGUUCAUCCAUUUCCUCUGCUGUCUCAGUGGUCAUGCAAUGGUGUCCAAAAGUCUGAGACCACAUAAAAGUGUUACAAAAUCCUAUUUAAACGAUGAAACAAACAUUUAAAAACUGUAAAUAUGAACAUUUAAAAACAAAGAAACAUGACAAAAUGAAUGAGAAAUAUGGAUUCUUGGAUAAUUAUAAGCAAAUUUGUAACACUGAUCAUGUGAAAUUUCUUUGUACAAAACAUUGUCAAAGCAAAUAGGAGACCAAGCCAAAUACUAAGAAAGUCUAAAAUUCAUGAUAUUUUUUAUUUUUUUUUUUUAAUUUUCACUCAAAUUAUGAUGGAAAGAUAAUACCAUUUUUAACAUUUCACUAGUCUAUGUCUUUUGGAUCCCACUGUACUUAAAUUUAAGUACAGUAAGCCGAACAGUACACUGUAAGUGAAAAUACAGUAAUAAUACUGCAAACCAUUUUACAGUAAAUUACUGGCAUCCAGCUGCCGUAAAAUUUACAGCAAUCUCUUUACAGUGUACUCUCCCUUUCGAGUGCCAUGGGCAAAGCUUGCUGGGAGAUAAAAGAAAAUCCCAGCCCAACUUCAGUUAAACUUAAGUUUGUCUAAAUGAAAAGAAAUGAGUUCAGACAACUCAAAACAAUGAAACAAUUCAGAAACAAUUUUACUUGAAAUAUGUCAGUGCUGUGAAGUCA
Molecule: long non-coding RNA, 3342 nt
Organism: Megalobrama amblycephala (Wuchang bream)
Lineage: Eukaryota; Metazoa; Chordata; Actinopteri; Cypriniformes; Xenocyprididae
Exons: 3
Source: RefSeq, a predicted model, not a curated record